CACGUAGGGGGCAAGCGUUGUUCGGAAUUAUUGGGCGUAAAGGGCAUGUAGGCGGUUCUGUAAGUCUGGCGUGAAAUGGUAGGGCUUAACCCUAUCCUGCGUCGGAAACUGCGGGACUAGAAUCACUGAGGGGAAAUCAGAAUUCCAGGUGUAGGGGUGAAAUCUGUAGAUAUCUGGAAGAAUACCAGUGGCGAAGGCGGAUUUCUGGCAGAUGAUUGACGCUGAGGUGCGAAAGCGUGGGGAGCAAACA
This 250-nucleotide ribosomal RNA is filed under the name uncultured bacterium. Its description in RNAcentral is "partial 16S ribosomal RNA". It matches the Rfam family "Bacterial small subunit ribosomal RNA", at positions 524 to 774 of the family's 1533-position model. The record is from RNAcentral.